GAUUUCUGGUAUGAUGCCCCUGAUCCGUGCCCCUUACGGGGUAUGUGUGUUGGUGUGGCGUCUGCCAUCUUUUGUGUAGAUGCUUUGUCCAUAUAGGGGCCUUUACUGGUUCUUGUUGGCUUAGGUUAUCAUCUACAUCUUUUACUUUGAAAAAAUUAGAGUGUUUAAAGCAGGCUUUUAGCCCUUGAAUACAUUAGCAUGGAAUAAUAAUAUAGGACUUCGGUUCUAUUUUGUUGGUUUCUAGUACUGAAGUAAUGAUUGAUAGGGAUAGUUGGGGGUGCUAGUAUUCAGCGGCCAGAGGUGAAAUUCUUGGAUUCGCUGAAGACUAACUUAUGCGAAAGCAUU
This 345-nucleotide ribosomal RNA is filed under the name uncultured Cercozoa. RNAcentral's name for it is "bacterial SSU rRNA". The stretch from base 128 to 345 matches the Rfam family "Eukaryotic small subunit ribosomal RNA", at positions 738 to 955 of the family's 1831-position model. The record is from RNAcentral. Lineage: Eukaryota; Cercozoa.